CCCUUAGAUGUUCUGGGCUGCACGCGUGCUACAAUGGCGCUUGCAACAAGAUUGCCAACCCGAAAGGGUGAGCGGAUCUUUGAAGUGGCGUCGUGAUCGGGACAGUUGAUUGCAAUUAUUCGACUCGAACGAGGAAUUCCUUGUAAUCGCGAUUCAUCAUAUCGCGCUGAAUACGUCCCUGCCCUUUGUACACACCGCCCGUCGCUCCUACCGAUUGAGCGAUCCGGUGAAUGUUUUGGACUGGUGUCCGCAAGCGUUUCGCUUCGGACGCUACGAAAUUUCGUAAACCUUAUCGCUUAGAGGAAGGAAAAGUCGUAACA
RNAcentral lists this ribosomal RNA (320 nucleotides) under uncultured eukaryote. RNAcentral describes it as "partial 18S ribosomal RNA". It matches the Rfam family "Eukaryotic small subunit ribosomal RNA", at positions 1470 to 1796 of the family's 1831-position model. The record is from RNAcentral.